GGUUGCUGCCCAGCUAAAGCAGAUGAGCUGAUUGCUCUGGUGAGAAAGGUGUGUGUUAACAACAGCAGUGCAGGCAGCAGCAGAGAAAGAGACAGAGAGGCUUCUGAUCCGGAGAAGGAAAUAGCAAGAGGGGUCAAUGUAGGCCUACUCUUCAUGGCCGGUGAAGCUGAGGAUGGCGACAUGCUCACAGACAUCCUGGAUGUUACAGUGAUACUGGAGGACAAAAUCAUCAUCCGUCAGCUAAAAAGUGUUCUAAAUGCCUUUGCUGUCCUAAUUGGCCUCUUGGAGACUAUCCAAAGGGACUGAAAUACAGUUUUGAGAUAAUCCAGAAAGUUUUCAUGGAUGUUGGCAGUGCGACAUGUUCAUCCAAAGUUCUUGCACAAGAACAAGAUUCUGCAACAAACAGUUUGAUCAGAUCACUUCAAGUGAUCCGUCUUUCUUUGUUUAUGGAUAAAGACAGCUUCUCCUCUCUCCUCCCCCCACCUCUCCUGCUUGGAGAGCGGCCUAGGUGGUAAUAAGCGAAGUGAGGCUUUUACGGUGAGGAUUCUGCAUUGACCGACCGGAACAGGUCCUGAAGAGGAGAACCGCUACCUUGGAGGUGUCUACCUGUGGCGCUUCAUUUUAUAAAAUUGACUCUCAUGCUCUUAAAACUAACAUUGCCCGGCAUCAUAUCAUGUGAUAAAUGUUGCCUGCUCGUCAUCCAUUGCUGGCUUGUCAUCCUGGAAGGGUGAUCCCUCCAUCUGUUAUCACUUCUCAAGAUUUCUUUUUUCUUUUCCCCCUAAAUGGAUUUUCUCUGCAUUUUUACAUUCCUAGAUGAGGGGGUCUAGACCAGGGGAUGUCGUUGUUUUGUGAAUUGUGAGCCUGUAAUGCCCUUUGAGACUCUUUUCUGAUUAAGGACUAUGUAUAUAAAUAAAUUUGCCUUAUUUUCAGUGCAGUGCUGUGCACACAUUGAUGACUGGUUUUUUUCCUGCUCUCUUUCAAUGCGUACAACCCAUUCAACAAGAGAGGAACUGAUGUGUCUGAUAAGGUCAGAGGAACUGUAAGUUGCAAUCA
Molecule: long non-coding RNA, 1053 nt
Organism: Phyllopteryx taeniolatus (common seadragon)
Lineage: Eukaryota; Metazoa; Chordata; Actinopteri; Syngnathiformes; Syngnathidae
Exons: 3
Source: RefSeq, a predicted model, not a curated record